UCUCUGUGUGUGUGUGUGUGUAUGUGUAUGUGUGUGUGUGUGUGUGUGUGUGUGUACACACACACACACACACACACACAGAGA
Molecule: microRNA precursor, 84 nt
Filed under: Podarcis lilfordi (Lilford's wall lizard)
Lineage: Eukaryota; Metazoa; Chordata; Lepidosauria; Squamata; Lacertidae
Source: RNAcentral